This 276-nucleotide ribosomal RNA is filed under the name uncultured bacterium. RNAcentral describes it as "partial 16S ribosomal RNA". It matches the Rfam family "Bacterial small subunit ribosomal RNA", at positions 334 to 627 of the family's 1533-position model. The record is from RNAcentral.
CGGGCCUACGGGGCGCAGCAGUGGGGGAUAUUGCACAAUGGGGGAAACCCUGAUGCAGCGACGCCGCGUGGGUGAAGAAACGCCUCGGUGCGUAAAGCCCUGUCAGCAGGGAAGAAAAUGACGGUACCUGAAGAAGAAGCCCCGGCUAACUACGUGCCAGCAGCCGCGGUAAUACGUAGGGGGCAAGCGUUAUCCGGAUUUACUGGGUGUAAAGGGGGCGCAGACGGCGAUGCAAGCCAGGAGUGCAAGCCCGGGGCUCAACCCCGGGACUGCUCU